RNAcentral lists this transfer RNA (107 nucleotides) under Klebsiella michiganensis. Its description in RNAcentral is "tRNA-Val". It matches the Rfam family "tRNA". Rfam says of the family: Transfer RNA (tRNA) molecules are approximately 80 nucleotides in length. Their secondary structure includes four short double-helical elements and three loops (D, anti-codon, and T loops). The record is from RNAcentral. Lineage: Bacteria; Pseudomonadati; Pseudomonadota; Gammaproteobacteria; Enterobacterales; Enterobacteriaceae.
GGGUGAUUAGCUCAGCUGGGAGAGCACCUCCCUUACAAGGAGGGGGUCGGCGGUUCACCUCCCUUACAAGGAGGGGGUCGGCGGUUCGAUCCCGUCAUCACCCACCA